This 71-nucleotide transfer RNA is filed under the name Actinoplanes couchii. RNAcentral describes it as "tRNA-Cys". It matches the Rfam family "tRNA". From Rfam's summary of the family: Transfer RNA (tRNA) molecules are approximately 80 nucleotides in length. The record is from RNAcentral. Lineage: Bacteria; Bacillati; Actinomycetota; Actinomycetes; Micromonosporales; Micromonosporaceae.
GGCCGUAUGCCCGAGUGGUCAGGGAGCCGAUUGCAAAUCGGUCCACGCCGGUUCGAAUCCGGCUGCGGUCU